AGUGAACGCUGGCGGUAGGCCUAACACAUGCAAGUCGAACGGCAGCACAGUAAGAGCUUGCUCUUACGGGUGGCGAGUGGCGGACGGGUGAGGAAUACAUCGGAAUCUACUUUUUCGUGGGGGAUAACGUAGGGAAACUUACGCUAAUACCGCAUACGACCUACGGGUGAAAGCAGGGGAUCUUCGGACCUUGCGCGAUUGAAUGAGCCGAUGUCGGAUUAGCUAGUUGGCGGGGUAAAGGCCCACCAAGGCGACGAUCCGUAGCUGGUCUGAGAGGAUGAUGAGCCACACGGGAAGAUAGACACGGUCCAGACUCCUACGGGAGGGAGCAGUGGGGAAUAGUGGAGAAGGGGGGCAAGCCUGAUCCAGCCAUAUCGCGUGGGUGAAGAAGGCCUUCGGGUUGUAAAGCCCUUUUGUUGGGAAAGAAAAGCAGCAGGUUAAUACCCCGCUGUUCUGACGGUACCCAAAGAAUAAGCACCGGCUAACUUCGUG
This 492-nucleotide ribosomal RNA is filed under the name uncultured bacterium. RNAcentral's name for it is "partial 16S ribosomal RNA". It matches the Rfam family "Bacterial small subunit ribosomal RNA", at positions 29 to 507 of the family's 1533-position model. The record is from RNAcentral.